This 1283-nucleotide long non-coding RNA is filed under the name Sorghum bicolor (sorghum). Its description in RNAcentral is "long non-coding RNA (SBIC_LNC001478)". Lineage: Eukaryota; Viridiplantae; Streptophyta; Magnoliopsida; Poales; Poaceae. The record is from RNAcentral.
GUGGGACCGCGGAUCAGGUUCAUCAUUUCCUCUUCGUGUUCUCUCGGAUCGGCCAUUUCUACAGAAAUAUGUGACACAUCACUACUAGCACUACUGUGUAUAGUCGACAAGGAAACAAUAUAUAAAACUUGGGUUUAGGGUUUAGGGUUUAGGGCUUAGGGCUUAGAACAUCACUAAAUACAUCACAGAACACUAUAUGUAUACUAUAUGUUAUUAUGUGAAAAAAACUAAAUACACCAUAGAACAUCACUAAUUACAUUAAAGAACAUCGUAUAUAUAUUACGUGAAAAUAAAUAAGAAAUUGGUGACACAUGACUACUAUAAUAUACAUGAAAAUAAAUAAAUAUAUAUGAAUUUGAGCAGAGGCAAUAUUCUAGAUUUAUAAGAAAUUGGUGACACAUGACUACUAGCACUACUGUGUGUACCUGACAAGAAAACAAUAUAUAAAACUAGGGUUUACAACUUAGGGUUUUCCGCAACAGUUUACGGCUAAGGGUUUGGGGUUUACAGCUUAGGUUUCAAGGUUUAGGGUUUACGGCUUAGGGUUUACAUCAUUUGCUAACAAAAGUGGCAUGAUCUGAAUCGGUCACAAAUAAGUGAGAGAGAGAGAGUAUAUGUGUUUAGGGCUUAGGGUUUAGGGUUUAGGGGUUAGGGUUCAGGGGUUAGGGUUUAGGGUUUAGGGCUUAGGUUUAGGGUUUAGUGUAUAUCAUUUGCUAAUAAUUAAAUAUAUCAUAAUUGUACCACUAAUUUAAACCACUAAUUGUACCACUAAUUAUAGCACUAAUAAUUGUACCACUAAUAGAUCCAUCUCGACAUACCUGUAGUUUGAAGGCGGUGAGACGGCGGAGAGACGGUGGUCGGUGCGGAGACUCGACGGGGACUUUGGUGACGACGGCAGAGAGACGUCGAUCUGGAAGAAGAAAGAAAUAAGGAACAAAUAUUAUAUCACAUUUACAUAUUGUGGCACAUGCAUGAAGCACUAAUAUAGAAAAAAACAAAAACUAAUAACAUAGUUUGUCUGUAAUUUACAAGACAAAUCUUUUGAGCUUAUUUAGUUUAUAAUUGGACAAUAUUUGCUACAAACAAACGAAAAUGCUACAAUACCAAAAUAGAAAAUCUUUUCGGAACUAAACAAGGCCUAAGAAAAAAUAUAUAAUGUAAUACAAAUAAUAAUUAGAGCAAAGUAUAGGAAAAAAAAUAAAUACAUGUAACAAAGAAAAAAAUUUAAAGAACAUCGUAUAUAUAUUACGUGAACAGUGGAAUUAGUUUUUAUUUUCGUCUAU